This 229-nucleotide ribosomal RNA is filed under the name uncultured bacterium. RNAcentral's name for it is "partial 16S ribosomal RNA". It matches the Rfam family "Bacterial small subunit ribosomal RNA", at positions 568 to 796 of the family's 1533-position model. The record is from RNAcentral.
UCCGUAGGUGGAUAAUUAAGUCAGAGGUGAAAUCCUGCAGCUCAACUGUAGAAUUGCCUUUGAUACUGGUUAUCUUGAAUUAUUGUGAAGUGGUUAGAAUAUGUAGUGUAGCGGUGAAAUGCAUAGAUAUUACACAGAAUACCGAUUGCGAAGGCAGAUCACUAAUAAUGUACUGACACUGAGGGACGAAAGCGUGGGGAGCGAACAGGAUUAGAUACCCUGGUAGUCC